RNAcentral lists this ribosomal RNA (511 nucleotides) under Syllis prolifera. RNAcentral describes it as "partial 16S ribosomal RNA". It matches the Rfam family "Bacterial large subunit ribosomal RNA", at positions 1802 to 2609 of the family's 2925-position model. Lineage: Eukaryota; Metazoa; Annelida; Polychaeta; Phyllodocida; Syllidae. The record is from RNAcentral.
GUUUAUCAAAAACAUUGUCUCCAGAUCCAAUAUUAGAGAUAGAUCUGCCCAGUGACGAAGAUUAACAAUUUAGAUAAACGGCCGCGGUAUUCCUGACCGUGCUAAGGUAGCACAAUAAUGAGCCCUCUAAUUAGGGGAUAGAAUGAACGAAUUAACGAGAAAUAAACUGUCUCUAUUAUAAACAUUGAAAUUUAUAUUUGGGUGAAAAAUCCCAAAUUCUCAACAAAGACAAAAAGACCCUACAAGCUUCUAUUUAGUAUAAUUCAAAUUACAAAAAUAUUCAAUUGGGGCGAUUCUAAGUUAAAAACACUUAUCACCUAAUAGGGCUAUCACCCACCAAUUUCAUCCGAUAGCAUAAAAGUAAGUUACUGUAGGGAUAACAGGCCAAUACUUCUUAAGAGCACAAAUCAACAGAAGUGUCUAGCACCUCGAUGUUGGCUUAGGGAUCCUUUUUCAUGCAGAAGUAAAAUAAGGGGGUUUGUUCAACCUUUAGAUCCCUACAUGAUCUGAG